This 195-nucleotide ribosomal RNA is filed under the name uncultured bacterium. Its description in RNAcentral is "partial 16S ribosomal RNA". It matches the Rfam family "Bacterial small subunit ribosomal RNA", at positions 338 to 524 of the family's 1533-position model. The record is from RNAcentral.
CCUACGGGAGGCAGCAGUAGGGAAUCUUCCGCAAUGGACGAAAGUCUGACGGAGCAACGCCGCGUGAGUGAAGAAGGUUUUCGGAUCGUAAAACUCUGUUGUUAGGGAAGAACAAGUGCCGUUCGAAUAGGGCGGCGCCUUGACGGUACCUAACCAGAAAGCCACGGCUAACUACGUGCCAGCAGCCGCGGUAAU